RNAcentral lists this long non-coding RNA (1433 nucleotides) under Homo sapiens (human). Its description in RNAcentral is "long intergenic non-protein coding RNA 470". Lineage: Eukaryota; Metazoa; Chordata; Mammalia; Primates; Hominidae. The record is from RNAcentral.
UUUUUAGCAGAGACGGGGUUUCACCCUGUUAGCCAGGAUGGUCUCAUCUCCUGACCUCGUGAUCCGCCCGCCUAGGCCUCCCAAAGUGCUGGGAUUACAGGCGUGAGCCACCGCGCCCGGCCUAAUAAAGGACAAUUUUUAAUAGCCACUGGACUAUUUAAGUGAUCUCUUCUGUCAGUUUCUUUUACCAUCAGAGGACACAGCAGCAAGGUGCCAUCCUAGAAGCAGAGAGCAGACCCUUACCAGACAACCAACCAGCUGGUGCCAUGAUCUUGGACUUCUCGGCCUCCAGAACUGCACUUAAACACGCAGCAUGAGGAAAAUGGAACAACAAUCUUGAGGUGCCUUCUGAAUCAUCAGAUUAAAUUAUGCUUCGGUCUUGCACUGCUGCCUAGGCUAGAGUGCAGUGGUGCAAUCAGGGCUCACUGCAGCCUCACUCAACUUCCCAGUCUCAAGCCAUCCUCCUACCUCAGCCUCUGUUCCACUAAUCUACUUGUCAAUUUUUCCAGCAACACCACACCCUCCUGAUCACCAUAGCUUUAUGCAACAACAAGAAACAAAUUUAUUAGCUAACCUAACCACUAAUGACGCAAGAGACAAUUCUAAGGACUUUCAAAACAGCAAAGUAGGAGCAGCUGCUACCUCUAGGGAUGAGGGAGAAACUCAAAAAUGCAUACAAAAACCAUUGCAUGAAAAGUGACUGGAUUUGUACAUAGCGUCAGGAGAUGUGCGUAGUGUCAAAGUAUCUCAUCACACAUUACUUGAUAAUUACAAAUGAGAAAAAUGAACCUUCACAGUGGCAAGACUUGACUUCUACCUCUUUCAAAAAGAUGCAAUUGUCCAAUUAUUGGUGAAAUUGUCAUUUCAUGCUAUUGGCUAUUUGAAAUUCCUCCUCUAAUUUCCUUUUCCUGAAGCCUUUCUGGCCUUCUAACUCUGGCUGAAGACCACCUAAAGAAGGAGAAGGAUGUGACUUAGGGGUAGUUUCUUCUAGAAAGAUAAAGGAGGAGAACAUCUAGUGUUGACUUGGAAGUGGGAAUAUUCAAGGAGAGAGAGAGAGAGAAAGAGAGAAUUCCAACUUCUAACCUCCUUCGUUUGAAACUCAUAGGAGUUCAGAAUAAAUCACUGAAAUUGACAUCGGCCAGUCUGAAUUUCAAGAAAUUACCUGCUGAAGACAAGAGGGAUCUCUUCUUCAGAUUUGCAGUCUGGGGAAGACACAGCCUCUACUGUACUUUAGAACCUGAGAUAUGGUGGUGGAGGGAGCCCUGGGUCGAGUGGUAAGAUUCACCCUUAGGUUAGUAUUGACGUAAGGUGACGAGGAGCUGUAGACAAAAGAUUGUAACCAUAAGAACUUCAUAGUUUUUGUAUUUUCACCGAGCUUAUAUUUGGUGUGUUUUUUGUCUUUUCUUUAUGAUUAUCAAUAAAAUGCUUGAAAG